This 136-nucleotide ribosomal RNA is filed under the name Bacillus subtilis. RNAcentral describes it as "partial 16S ribosomal RNA". It matches the Rfam family "Bacterial small subunit ribosomal RNA", at positions 1332 to 1465 of the family's 1533-position model. The record is from RNAcentral. Lineage: Bacteria; Bacillati; Bacillota; Bacilli; Caryophanales; Bacillaceae.
UUGCUAGUAAUCGCGGAUCAGCAUGCCGCGGUGAAUACNUUCCCGGGUCUUGUACACACCGCCCGUCACACCACGAGAGUUUACAACACCCGAAGUCGGUGGGGUAACCCUUACGGGAGCCAGCCGCCGAAGGUGG